RNAcentral lists this ribosomal RNA (433 nucleotides) under uncultured bacterium. RNAcentral describes it as "partial 16S ribosomal RNA". It matches the Rfam family "Bacterial small subunit ribosomal RNA", at positions 29 to 507 of the family's 1533-position model. The record is from RNAcentral.
AACGAACGCUGGCGGCAUGCCUAACACAUGCAAGUCGAACGAAGGCUUCGGCCUUAGUGGCGCACGGGUGCGUAACGCGUGGGAAUCUGCCCUUUGGUUCGGAAUAACAGCUGGAAACGGCUGCUAAUACCGGAUGAUGACGAAAGUCCAAAGAUUUAUCGCCAGAGGAUGAGCCCGCGUUGGAUUAGGUAGUUGGUGGGGUAAAGGCCUACCAAGCCGACGAUCCAUAGCUGGUCUGAGAGGAUGAUCAGCCACACUGGGACUGAGACACGGCCCAGACUCCUACGGGAAGCAGCAGUGGGGAAUAUUGGACAAUGGGCGCAAGCCUGAUCCAGCAAUGCCGCGUGAGUGAUGAAGGCCCUAGGGUUGUAAAGCUCUUUUACCCGGGAAGAUAAUGACUGUACCGGGAGAAUAAGCCCCGGCUAACUCCGUG